GUGGAUGGAAUGAGGGAGCAGACUCAUGGAUCUGUUGAAGACAGUAGCGUUUCUAUAGAAAAGAGCUGUGCAUGCACAGUAGCAAAAGCAAAGAGGCCUGAUUGGGAGUACUCCAUUGAUGCAACACACAGUGGCACAACAUAUUCUACUGUCAACCCACUGAGGUUUGCACAGAAGCUCAGACAAGACCCCUGCAAAGACCCAGAUGUACAUCUAAACAGGGAUUUGCAUGACAGGUGGGAGAGGUCUUUGUUGUCAGCAUCAGCAGCCACAAGAGGAGCUGGCAGAAGUUAUGACAACUGAGUAGCUCCAGGGCAUUAACUGUGAAGCUGCAGGUUCACCUGCAAGAGGGCGGGGAAUCGGCAAAUUGAGGUCAAAGCUACGCUCAAUGAGAAGACAGCAGAGGAGAAGACCUAGUUUUCGGUUAGCAGAGCAGAGAGCCGAGGGAGGAGGAGCAUCACUGCGAAAACCUUUGCCAGCAUUUGUCCAUCCAGCAGCCAGCAGUCAUGGCAGCUGGAUGGAGGUUCAGCUGAAGAGCUUGUCCUUGAAGUUACUUCACCCUUAAGAAGGCAAUUCUUGAAAUGGACAGACUGCAUCACUCCAAUGUGAGGGGCCUUUAACAUCUUAAUGAUUUUUUUUUUCAAUCGUAUACACUACCUAUUUAAAGUAAAUAGUUCAACAAUUCUGUAAUACCAGACUAUAAAGGUGGAAUAUAAAUGUUUAUAAUGUUUGAUGUGUUUCUUUCCUUUCCUAGUCAGAAUGUCCUGAAUGACAUUUUUCGUGUUGUUAAGUUGAACAAAUUAUUGGCUUAAAGUAAUAAUAAUCUAUAUUUCAUGGUUAAGUUUCUUUACACUGUUUUCUAUAAAAGUGUAGCACUUUUGUUUGGAGUCACAAAAAGCAUCUUCUCCUAGAGCAAUAGACCCACAAGCCAAACUCCAAAAUCUUAAUGAGUGUACCCAGAUAGACAAGAAAUUGCAUCCAAAUAAAAGAAUAAUAAAGGCAUCUAAACCGUAA
Maylandia zebra (zebra mbuna) is the source of this 1014-nucleotide non-coding RNA. Lineage: Eukaryota; Metazoa; Chordata; Actinopteri; Cichliformes; Cichlidae. The record is from RefSeq and is a predicted model, not a curated record.